CCUAACACAUGCAAGUCGAGCGGCAGCACAGAGGAACUUGUUCCUUGGGUGGCGAGCGGCGGACGGGUGAGUAAUGCCUGGGAAAUUGCCCGGUAGAGGGGGAUAACCAUUGGAAACGAUGGCUAAUACCGCAUAACCUCGCAAGAGCAAAGCAGGGGACCUUCGGGCCUUGCGCUACCGGAUAUGCCCAGGUGGGAUUAGCUAGUUGGUGAGGUAAGGGCUCACCAAGGCGACGAUCCCUAGCUGGUCUGAGAGGAUGAUCAGCCACACUGGAACUGAGACACGGUCCAGACUCCUACGGGAGGCAGCAGUGGGGAAUAUUGCACAAUGGGCGCAAGCCUGAUGCAUCCAUGCCGCGUGUAUGAAGAAGGCCUUCGGGUUGUAAAGUAUUUUCAGUAGUCUUGAA
RNAcentral lists this ribosomal RNA (406 nucleotides) under Vibrio cholerae. Its description in RNAcentral is "bacterial SSU rRNA". It matches the Rfam family "Bacterial small subunit ribosomal RNA", at positions 47 to 449 of the family's 1533-position model. Lineage: Bacteria; Pseudomonadati; Pseudomonadota; Gammaproteobacteria; Vibrionales; Vibrionaceae. The record is from RNAcentral.